AUGGCUCCGUUGGGAGUGAAGAAGGAGAGGGCGGCGGAGUACAAGGGGCACAUGACGUUCGCCGUCGCCAUGGCGUGCAUCAUCGCGGCCAUCGGGGGUUCCAUCUUUGGCUACGAUAUCGGCAUCUCCGGAGUGAACACCAAGGACCCGUUCCUCCAGAAGUUUUUCCCCGUGGUGUUCCGGCGAAAAAACUCGGUCAGCCUAAACAACUACUGCAAGUACGACAACCAGGCUCUCUCCGCCUUCACCUCCAUCCUCUAUCUCGCCGGACAAGUCUCCACACUUGCAGCUGCACCGGUGACAAGGAACUACGGCCGCCGCGCGAGCAUUAUCUGUGGCGGAAUCAGCUUCCUCAUCGGCGCGGCCCUCAACGCCGCAGCUGUGGACCUCACAACUCUGAUCCUCGGCCGCAUCAUGCUUGGCAUCGGCAUCGGUUUCGGCAAUCAGGCUGUGCCGCUGUACUUGUCCGAGAUGGCGCCCGCGCACCUGCGCGGUGGGCUGAACAUGAUGUUCCAGCUCGCGACAACGCUUGGCAUCUUCUCGGCAAACAUGAUCAAUUACGGCACGCAGAAAAUCAAGCCAUGGGGGUGGCGCCUCUCGCUCGGCCUUGUGGCGGUGCUAGCGCUGCUGAUGAUGAUCGGCGGCGUCCUCCUUCCAGAGACGCCGAAUAGCCUCAUCGAGCGUGGGCACCUCGAGCGGCGCAUGCUGGUGCUGAUCCGCGGCACUGAAGACGUCAACGCUGAGUUCACUCACAUGGCGGAGGCGAGUGAGCUGGCCAACACCAUCAAGCACCCAUUUCGGAACAUCCUGGAGCGGCGCAACCGGCCGCAGCUGGUGAUGGCCGUGUGCAUGCCGGCGUUCCAGAUCCUAACGGGAAUCAACUCCAUCCUGUUCUACGCGCCCGUACUGUUCCGGAGCAUGGGCUUCGGCGCUAGCUGGUCCCUUUACUCCUCCAUGCUCAACGGCGGCGUGCUCUCGUUCUCCACGCUUAUUUCCAUCGCCACCGUCGACCGCCUUGGGAGGAGGAAGCUCCUCAUCAGUGGCGGCAUCCAGAUGAUUGUUUGUCAGGUCAUCGUGGCGGCGAUACUGGGGGUAAAGUUUGGUGCGGACAAGCAGCUGUUGCGGAGCUACUCCAUCGUGAUAUGCCUCUUCAUGCUCGCGUUCGGGUGGUCAUGGGGUCCGCUUGGGUGGACGGUGCCGAGCGAGAUCUUUCCGCUGGAGACGCGGUCGGCGGGGCAGAGCAUCACAGUGGCCGUCAACCUGUUCUUCACCUUCGUCAUCGCACAAUUGUUCCUGUCGCUGCUUUGUGCCUUCAAGUUCGCCAUCUUCAUCUUCUUCGCUAGCUGGAUAGCCCUCAUGACCGCCUUCGUCCAUGUCUUCAUGCCGGAGACCAAGGGCGUGCCCAUAGAGGAGAUGGUGAUGCUCUGGAGCAAGCAUAGGUUCUGGAAGAUCAUCAUGCCAGCAAUGCCGACCCUGCCGCUCGAGGACGGCUUGGGACCUAGUGACAUUGGUUAA
RNAcentral lists this ribosomal RNA (1515 nucleotides) under Triticum aestivum (bread wheat). RNAcentral's name for it is "partial small subunit ribosomal RNA". Lineage: Eukaryota; Viridiplantae; Streptophyta; Magnoliopsida; Poales; Poaceae. The record is from RNAcentral.